UACGUAGGUGGCGGGCGUUGUCCGGAUUCACUGGGUGUAAAGGGCGCGUAGGCGGGAGUGCAAGUCAGGUGUGAAAUCUAUGGGCUUAACCCAUAAACUGCACUUGAAACUGCGUUUCUUGAGUGUCGGAGAGGUAGAUGGAAUUCCUAGUGUAGCGGUGAAAUGCGUAGAUAUUAGAAGGAACACCAGUGGCGAAGGCGAUCUACUGGACGAUAACUGACGCUGAGGCGCGAAAGCGUGGGGAGCAAAC
Molecule: ribosomal RNA, 250 nt
Filed under: uncultured prokaryote
Description: partial 16S ribosomal RNA
Rfam family: Bacterial small subunit ribosomal RNA
Source: RNAcentral